This 273-nucleotide ribosomal RNA is filed under the name uncultured bacterium. RNAcentral describes it as "partial 16S ribosomal RNA". It matches the Rfam family "Archaeal small subunit ribosomal RNA", at positions 473 to 747 of the family's 1478-position model. The record is from RNAcentral.
AUACCCGCUCCGCGAGUGGUGGGGACUUUUACUGGGCUUAAAGCGCCCGUAGCCGGCUGGGUGUGUCCUCCGUUAAAUCCACAGGCCUAACCUGUGGGCUGCGGGGGAUACUACCCGGCUUGGGGGUGGGAGAGGGCGGCGGUAUUCCCGGGGUAGGGGUAAAAUCCACUGAUCCCGGGAGGACCACCAGUGGCGAAGGCGGCCGCCCAGAACACGCCCGACGGUGAGGGGCGAAGCUGGGGGAGCAAACGGGAUUAGAUACCCUAGUAGUCC